UGCGCGCCGCAGGGGAUGCCGGGAGCGCGCAGUGGCGGCAGCGGCGGCGACGGCAAUCACAGCGGCAGCUACAGCGGGGACGCGAGCAGGGCGGUGACCGUGUGGGAGGUGUUCUCACUCUUGGGGAAGCUGUUGGGCACCGUCGCCGCGCUGAAGGUAGUCCUGUACCUGCUCCGGGUGUGCUUAGCGAUGGCCUGGAAAUCCGGCGGCGCCAGCCACUCGGAGCUAAUCCACAACCUCCGCAAAAAUGGAAUCAUCAAGACAGAUAAAGUCUUUGAAGUCAUGCUGGCCACAGACCGCUCCCACUAUGCAAAAUGUAACCCUUAUAUGGAUUCUCCACAAUCAAUAGGUUUCCAGGCCACAAUCAGUGCUCCACACAUGCAUGCAUAUGCACUAGAACUUCUAUUUGAUCAGUUGCAUGAAGGAGCUAAAGCUCUUGAUGUAGGAUCUGGAAGUGGAAUCCUUACUGCGUGUUUUGCACGUAUGGUUGGACCUACUGGAAAAGUCGUAGGAAUUGACCACAUUAAAGAGCUGGUAGACGACUCAAUAAAUAACGUCAGAAAGGACGAUCCGACGCUUCUGUCUUCAGGGAGAGUGCAGCUGGUUGUGGGAGAUGGAAGAAUGGGAUAUCCUGAAGAAGCCCCUUAUGAUGCUAUUCAUGUAGGAGCCGCAGCCCCAGUUGUGCCCCAGGCACUGUUAGACCAGUUAAAGCCAGGUGGAAGAUUGAUAUUGCCAGUUGGUCCUGCAGGUGGAAACCAGAUGUUGGAGCAGUACGACAAGCUACAGGAUGGCAGUAUCAAAAUGAAACCUCUGAUGGGAGUGAUAUACGUGCCUUUAACAGAUAAGGAAAAGCAGUGGUCCAGUGGCUGGUACAGUGCUGCACCUGGCUGAGCGAAUGGUUUCUUUUGGAGCUGAUAAAGCUGCCUUAUGAAAUCAGCUGACCAGGGACGAACUGUAAAAGCAACAUCAGCUUGACCAGUAUAUAAUAUUACAGUGGAUUGCUCAUCUCAGUCCUCAGAGCUUUUUGAAAACCAACAACAUCACAGCUUGUUUUCGACUUUGUUACACUAUUAUUUUCAGCAUGAAAAUGUGUGGUUUCGUAGGGUUUCUAAUUCUUCAAAGAGGCACAGAAGCCAAAUUGGUAGAGGAGGGAUGCAAAGGAUAAGUCCGUGUAUUAUUACUUUAACACGCCUACGUUUUACUUUAAAAUAUUAAAAAAAGGGCUUCUGCAAAAUGGACAACUUAGUUUGUGAAUUGAUUUUGAGGAGUGGUUUUUCUUUUCUUAGACACUUAAUGCUGUUCCAAUAUGAAUUUAUCAGAUCGCUUUCGUGCAUCAGAUAACACCACCAUUCACAAGUUUGGAUUCUUGGUUUUUGGACGUCUCUUAGAUGCUACUAAGAAAAUAGAGAUGAGCUUCCUUUUUUAAAGCUUUUGAUGUGGUGUCAUAGAGUAGCAUGUUGUAGAUACAAUCAGCUGCUUCGUUACCUUACAACUAAGCGUUUGUAAAUAUUAAAACUUAGGAGGAUGGCCAGCGAUGUCUCUUAAAACACUCAGCUGUUCAGAUUGGACAUAAUUGACAUAGUUCUUCUUUCUCUCUUUAAAAAUUAUAGGAGACCCGUAGCUCAGUGUUGUUUUUCUCUUUCUGAUUUGCUGCUGAUAAUGUACAUGAAUUUACCCUGCUGUGUAAGCUGUGUCCUAGCUACUGAACAGUUUAUGCAGUGCUGCUUUGCCAAAUAAAGUUGAAAGUAAAGAG
This is an RNA transcript of Equus quagga, 1753 nucleotides long. It is a transcript of the gene named protein-L-isoaspartate (D-aspartate) O-methyltransferase, with no coding region annotated. The transcript has 9 exons. The record is from RefSeq and is a predicted model, not a curated record. NCBI's taxonomy places the organism in Eukaryota, Metazoa, Chordata, Mammalia, Perissodactyla, Equidae.